Molecule: long non-coding RNA, 1616 nt
Organism: Sycon ciliatum
Lineage: Eukaryota; Metazoa; Porifera; Calcarea; Leucosolenida; Sycettidae
Exons: 3
Source: RefSeq, a predicted model, not a curated record
CAACAAACGUGUGCACCUUACACACUGUACCGCCAGAUGUAAAGGUUGCGACAGCGUAGCAAGGAAGGAACUGAUCACUGCAGUGAAUGAGGCAUUGUCAACUAUUGUAUGUUGGAGUGACCUGGAUCACUAGCCAAGCUGAGUUUCUGGUAAUCACAUAAUCCAGCUGUUCAACGCCUAGCAGCUGCUUUCAUCUCCAUAGUGAAAACUACACAGACCAUGACUGCAGUGAAGAGUGUAUGAGCCGUGCUACAAUAACCAGUUUAUCAUCGACCUGAAAGUACUUCAAAAUGUCUAACAAUGAACCAUUUGGUGAUCCCAAGUUCAUUUCCAAUAUCUUACCCUGGAUUUAUAAAUUGGAUACAACGAGCUUUCGACAUUCUAUGCAGGACAACGGUGCGUUCACAAGUACAACACAAAUUGAGACACUGGAGCGUCUGGAAAAAUACGAAGGAAAGGAAAAGCAUAAUUCUCACAUCAUCAGUCUUAUUCGUCCUGGAGGCACAGCUGCUUAUAAACUACUCUGCAAUGCAAUCCAUGACUUGGGUCCAUUGUACAAUGAAAAGUACCAAGAAAUGCUUCUCCUGUUGCCUGUUGACCAGCGACCAACGACCAAGACAUCCUCUUCCGAGACAGGUAAUUGAUAUGUGUAGAAUGGGGAGGGUUUCAGGGUUGUGGAUGUAUCAUUAACAGUCUGAACAUGCCCAAUUUAUACAUUGCCACCAACCAAACUUCUGCUGUCAGGGAAAUUUUAGUUUUGUACCUUACCAGCAGAAUACAACUCAUUACACCAAAGUGUCGUCUAGUUAAAAGUGAACUAUACCCCUCUUGCGGCCGCGAUACACAACAGAAGGCCAGCUGUUUAGUUGGAGAGAAUACUUUGUUCUUUCUCUAAGGAAAUGUCUGGACAACUGACGUAUGACAACUGACAAGUGAAUAAUAUCCAGGAAAGUGGUGCACUCAUCAGCACAAAAGGUGCACGGGUCAGCGAUACAAUGCUGUCCCAAUGUGGACCAGUGCGAGAAGUGUGUACAGAGCGGGUGACUAUAAAGCCUAGUUCACAUUCGACGGGGCACGACGGGACGUGACGUAAGGAUCGACGAGAAGCGACGGGACAGUCUGACGGCGUCCAAUGUGAACACCAGGAACGGGAACGCAGCUGUACUGCCGUACAGAUCGGGAAGCGACGGGAAGAGUUGGAUCGAUCCAACUUGUCAUACCGUAGACGGGCGUAGUCAGGAUGCAAGUGUACAAAACAGCUGCAUUUUGAGUGUGAACAGGAGACGGCGUUGUGCGCCGACUACUCCCGUUUCGUACUUGGGAAAUUUUUAGCAUUUCGAACACUGUGCUUCCCAUGAUAACUCGCAGAAUGGCUAACACGACUUGAGUUGAAUUUUAGCAAGAUACGGUCUGGUGUCACUUAUGGUAUUUUGGGAUAGUUCAGGAGCGUGACAGACGAACUGUUUUAUCAUUCCCUGGAGCUAUUAUUUGAAUAGCACGCCUUUCGAUGCUACAUUUUUGGUGUUGAUGAAAAACUGGUAUUGUGAACUUGAUUCCGCUUCAUUCAAGGAGAAAUAAUUGAAAAGAAGUACCGAAGAACAAAAAAUAGGUCCAAA